GCAAGCGUAGAAGAACUUUUCAGUGAACAAAACUUCAAGCCAAUGAGGAAGAUGUGAGGAAACCCAGCAUAUAUACGUUACUGCAACAAUUAUUCAAUUUGAUUUUCAGAAUAAAAUAACAAAUUAAAUUGCAGCAUGAGAUAAAUUAAAGCUGCACAAGACUAUAGAGCAAUGAACAAAUUAAAGAACUCCACCAUGAAAUGAUUUGAGAUAUCUUUUGAUGUUUGAUGAGAGAGAAAAUUUGGUCAGGAUUUAUGGAUAUAGAGAAAGAGGAGUGUUAGGAAAGAAAACGGUGUAGAAGAUUGUCCCUUCAUCCAUUUGGCCUUUGGCAGGGGCUUCCUUCGAUUUUCACCUGGACUUCAUAAAUUCCUCAAAUUUCCUUCUUGAUAACAGUAAUCCUGCGUUCGGAGAGAGGUGAGUCACCGUGUUUCGUCACAUCCAAAUCUACUUUUUCUUAACCGAUUUCUC
Molecule: long non-coding RNA, 468 nt
Filed under: Citrus x clementina
Lineage: Eukaryota; Viridiplantae; Streptophyta; Magnoliopsida; Sapindales; Rutaceae
Description: Citrus clementina (C. clementina) long non-coding RNA (CCLE_LNC003022)
Source: RNAcentral